This 287-nucleotide long non-coding RNA is filed under the name Ananas comosus (pineapple). RNAcentral describes it as "long non-coding RNA (ACOM_LNC014493)". The record is from RNAcentral. Lineage: Eukaryota; Viridiplantae; Streptophyta; Magnoliopsida; Poales; Bromeliaceae.
UUAUAAUGAUUAUAUAUAUAUAUUAAUAGUAAAAUGUUCUUUUUGCUAUCAAAAUUUUAACUUUUGAAUGAAAAAUUAUAAGGUCAGAAUGAUAUUAGUCGGUUAGAGUUGAGUGGUCCCCCUAAGAUUGAGUGGUUCUUACUGGGUUAUACUAUUUAAUCCAAUGGUUAGAAAUAAUGAAAAGAGUUGAUCCAAAGGUUAAAAAACUGGUAGCAACAAUGGAAUUUUGCUACUAAUAGUAGCCCAGUCCAACUCUAUAUAUAUAUAUAUAUAUAUAUAUAUAUAUA